Molecule: long non-coding RNA, 1013 nt
Filed under: Aplysia californica (California sea hare)
Lineage: Eukaryota; Metazoa; Mollusca; Gastropoda; Aplysiida; Aplysiidae
Description: uncharacterized LOC101853777, transcript variant X2
Source: RNAcentral
UAUUAUAACCGCUCUUUUUAUAUUUUGAAACAAAAAUGUAAACUGUAUAGGCGUAAGACAAUUGUAUUAGUUGACUCGUCUUCAUCACCAGGACCAGCCACGGACAGGAGGACCAGCCAGAGGAGCACCCACAGACAGGAGCAUCUACAGGAGGACCAUCAUAGGACAGGAGGACUAGCGGGAGGAGCACCCACAGACAGGAGCAUCUACAGGAGAAAGAUGCCAAGCCAACAGUUAACAGUUAUCAAAGAAGCAGAUACCAUGCCCUGACAGGAAGGACCUUCCACUCACACUGGAUUGUAACAUCCCCGCUCUGCACAUGACAUCCAGCCAAAUGAGUACAGUGCUAACAUGAUCAAAUUGUGCCAAUAGCACCGUGAAACAAAUUUUCUUCAAUUAGUCAUUCAAGAACUAACAGACAAUUGCCAGGCAUCAAGAAUCCUUUCAACAUGCAGCUCUCUUGAAUAGGCAUGUCAAUUCCUCCAGAUGACUACCAUGGACUACUUUAACAGUUGGCUGUUUUAUUUCUCUCAUGUGAAAUUGUGUUGACGGCAUGGCAUCCUUCAGUCUCAGGAUACUAUGGAUCUGCGCCGUAGGAGAUUUCAGGUUCGAGAGCAGCACUUGCUGUGGCUGAACAGGUCCACACAGAAUUGCAGUCCCUGUAGCCGUGGCUGCACUUGUGAGUGGUGUCUUCCUGCAUUGGUAGCCUCUGGCUGUUCUUUCGGUGAUGACGUUUGUCCUCAGCUGCCUGUCGCAGUCGGGCUUCACCCCUGAUGAGACCAGCUCCCAGUGUCUCUCACCUAAGAGCCCAUAUCAAGCGAUUUCAUAUCUCGCUUGCACACAUCUUUGAAGCGAAGAUGGGGGUGCCCUUGCACUUACUUUGCGGAGGCCAGCUCACCGUACAAUAAAUUGUGUUGAUAGUGCUGUAAAAACCAGCAAAGACUUAAGAAAACAAUAUUCCUUGUGUGAUGUCCAGAUGGAGAUUUUGUAAUGAAGCUACUUAGAAAUAAUGU